Molecule: ribosomal RNA, 575 nt
Filed under: Scinax fuscomarginatus (brown-bordered snouted treefrog)
Lineage: Eukaryota; Metazoa; Chordata; Amphibia; Anura; Hylidae
Description: partial 16S ribosomal RNA
Rfam family: Bacterial large subunit ribosomal RNA
Source: RNAcentral
CGCCUCUUGAAUAAAAAUAAGAGGUCCAGCCUGCCCAGUGACUAAUAUUCAACGGCCGCGGUAUCCUAACCGUGCGAAGGUAGCGUAAUCACUUGUUCUUUAAAUGGGGACUAGUAUGAAUGGCAUCACGAGGGUUAUACUGUCUCCUUUUUCUAAUCAGUGAAUCUAAUCUCCCCGUGAAGAAACGGGGAUACACCUACAAGACGAGAAGACCCUAUGGAGCUUUAAAUACCUCUUCAAACGUUGGACCUCCUCCCCAGUUUUAAACUCACCUAUAUUAACCCCGUACGCUAUGAAGACAACUUUAGGUUGGGGUGACCGCGGAGUACAACAUAACCUCCACGCUGAAUUCAGACUCUUUAAGCCUGAACCAAGAGCCACUGCUCAAAGCACUAAGAAAUUAACAUUUAUUGACCCAAAACAUUUGAUCAACGAACCAAGUUACCCUAGGGAUAACAGCGCAAUCCAUUUCAAGAGUCCAUAUCGACAAAUGGGUUUACGACCUCGAUGUUGGAUCAGGGUAUCCCAGUGGUGCAGCCGCUACUAAUGGUUCGUUUGUUCAACGAUUAAAACCC